UGUAAAAMKACGGCCAGUUGGAGAGUUUGAUCCUGGCUCAGAUUGAACGCUGGCGGCAUGCUUUACACAUGCAAGUCGAACGGCAGCACGGGCUUCGGCCUGGUGGCGAGUGGCGAACGGGUGAGUAAUAUAUCGGAACGUACCCAGAAGUGGGGGAUAACGUAGCGAAAGUUACGCUAAUACCGCAUACGAUCUACGGAUGAAAGUGGGGGAYCKYMRGRCCUCAUGCUUUUGGAGCGGCCGAUAUCUGAUUAGCUAGUUGGUAGGGUAAAGGCCUACCWAGGCGACGAUCAGUAGCUGGUCUGAGAGGACGACCAGCCACACUGGAACUGAGACACGGUCCAGACUCCUACGGGAGGCAGCAGUGGGGAAUUUUGGACAAUGGGCGCAAGCCUGAUCCAGCAAUGCCGCGUGAGUGAAGAAGGCCUUCGGGUUGUAAAGCUCUUUUGUCAGGGAAGAAACGGSCYBGGCUAAUAUCYGRGSYUAAUGACGGUACCUGAAGAAUAAGCACCGGCUAACUACGU
Molecule: ribosomal RNA, 524 nt
Filed under: Massilia sp. 'ARUP UnID 424'
Lineage: Bacteria; Pseudomonadati; Pseudomonadota; Betaproteobacteria; Burkholderiales; Oxalobacteraceae
Description: Naxibacter sp. 'ARUP UnID 424' partial 16S ribosomal RNA
Rfam family: Bacterial small subunit ribosomal RNA
Source: RNAcentral